UACGAAGGGGGCUAGCGUUGUUCGGAAUUACUGGGCGUAAAGGGUGCGUAGGUGGUUUGUUAAGUCCGUUGUGAAAUCCCUGGGCUCAACCUGGGAAUGGCAGUGGAUACUGGCAAGCUAGAGUGCGGUAGAGGGUAGUGGAAUUCCCGGUGUAGCAGUGAAAUGCGUAGAGAUCGGGAGGAACACCAGUGGCGAAGGCGGCUACCUGGACCAGCACUGACACUGAGGCACGAAAGCGUGGGGAGCGAACAGG
RNAcentral lists this ribosomal RNA (253 nucleotides) under uncultured bacterium. Its description in RNAcentral is "partial 16S ribosomal RNA". It matches the Rfam family "Bacterial small subunit ribosomal RNA", at positions 524 to 776 of the family's 1533-position model. The record is from RNAcentral.